Molecule: ribosomal RNA, 270 nt
Filed under: Triticum aestivum (bread wheat)
Lineage: Eukaryota; Viridiplantae; Streptophyta; Magnoliopsida; Poales; Poaceae
Description: partial small subunit ribosomal RNA
Source: RNAcentral
AUGGACCAAUCCAUCCCUUUUUCCCGUGCACAUGCAUCGGACUCGGAUGACGAUGGUCCCGAUGAAGAAGUUGAUGAGGAGGGGUUCACGCCGAAGGAGGCCCAAGCAUUCAAGAAGGUAUUCGGGCGGCAUCACAAGACACCAUUGUUCAAGGAUCUUAGUCUCGCGGAUGAAGCCGUUGUGGAUGGUGGCAAAUGCAUAUCUCUUGGAGCUAGGCCAAGUUCUCACCGUUAUUUGGAAGACGGCAAGAACGGGAUAUAUCCCGGUUGA